CUACGUCACCUGCCCUCUGACUUUUAACAGCCGCGGUAUCCUAACCGUGCUAAGGUAGCAUAAUCACUUGCCUAUUAAUUAUAGGCUAGAAUGAACGGGAUCACUCACUUAAACUUAUUUUUAUUUAAAUUUAAAUUAAACUUUAAGUCAAAAUACUAAAUUAAAAAGAAAGACAAAAAGACCCUGAAAACUAUUAGAAAUAAUUAGUUGGGGCAACUAUAGACCACUCUAGCGUCUAUUUUUUUUUAAACUCUUAAAAUCUAAAGUAUCCAGUUACUUCAGGGAUAACAGACUAAUUUUAUUAUUUAGACCCAAUAAAUAAUAAAGAUUGGCACCUCGAUGUUGGCUUAUAUUUCCUUCAUAUAGCAACAUAUAUAGAAGGCAGCUUGUUCAUCUGUUAAAUAUUUACAUGAG
RNAcentral lists this ribosomal RNA (414 nucleotides) under Stygocapitella sp. 222_02. RNAcentral describes it as "partial large subunit ribosomal RNA". It matches the Rfam family "Archaeal large subunit ribosomal RNA", at positions 1954 to 2673 of the family's 2987-position model. Lineage: Eukaryota; Metazoa; Annelida; Polychaeta; Parergodrilidae. The record is from RNAcentral.